RNAcentral lists this ribosomal RNA (253 nucleotides) under uncultured bacterium. RNAcentral's name for it is "partial 16S ribosomal RNA". It matches the Rfam family "Bacterial small subunit ribosomal RNA", at positions 524 to 776 of the family's 1533-position model. The record is from RNAcentral.
UACGUAGGGGGCAAGCGUUAUCCGGAUUUACUGGGUGUAAAGGGAGCGUAGGCGGCAGCGCAAGUCUGGAGUGAAAUGCCGGGGCCCAACCCCGGAACUGCUUUGGAAACUGUGCAGCUCGAGUGCAGGAGAGGUAAGCGGAAUUCCUAGUGUAGCGGUGAAAUGCGUAGAUAUUAGGAGGAACACCAGUGGCGAAGGCGGCUUACUGGACUGUAACUGACGUUGAGACUCGAAAGCGUGGGGAGCAAACAGG